UUACAAGUGGGGUAGAAGCAGUCUUCCUUGAUAACUGAUAACACAAGUAAAUUAUUUGUUAUGUAUGAAAUAAUGUCUUCAGUCUUUAUAUUUUUGAGAAGAUAGCUUCAGGGCACAGUGAAUAUUUUAGUUGAAGCACUAAUUCUUAACCCUGUUUUAGUUGCCAUUUUGGGGAUAAUUCUUUCAGUCUCAUGAAGCUAUGGGAUAUUUUUCCAGAAAACAUUGCAACACACACAGAUAUAGACAUACCUAGGCAAUUCUGCAUAUGGUAUGAGGAGGUUUAUUGAGCUCCCAGCUGAAGCUCUCUGGGUAUCCUGUAUGAAGAGCCUCUAAAACUGAAGAAUAUUAGUUUAGGAAGUACUACAGUAAUUUUCACUAGUAGGAAUGUUAUUUUGGGU
RNAcentral lists this long non-coding RNA (398 nucleotides) under Bos taurus (domestic cattle). RNAcentral describes it as "long non-coding RNA NONBTAT010749". Lineage: Eukaryota; Metazoa; Chordata; Mammalia; Artiodactyla; Bovidae. The record is from RNAcentral.